UAUUAUUUAAAUUCAUAGAGAGUUUUAAGGUUUGCAGUGAACUUUUUCUCAUAAUAACCUUAUGAUGUAUUAUUAUUCCUAUUUUACAGAUCAGAAAUCUGAUGCUCUGAGAAGCUAAGUAACAGAUUAUAUGACUUGCCCAAGGUCACACAAUUACUAAGUAGAACUGAGAUUCAAAAUUCUGUCAAGCUUUUCUGAAGGCUGCAACAGAGGUUGUUUCAGACAUUUGGGUCAGCCAGUGCAAAUGUCCGCAGACGACAGAUAACUGAAUGGUGUUUCCAGCCUUGGCAGCAACCUUCUGAGAGCAAGAAGUUGGAAAAUCCCAUGUCCAAAUGCUGCUUAUCCAAUAGAUCAUCUUUCAUUCCUAAAAUGAUCACUUCUGCUUCUUGGAACCCUUAGCUCCCUUCAAAACACAAGUGCCUCUUUCUUCAGAAAGAAACUGAAGAAAAAUUUCUUCAGUUUUUAAUGGCAGCUCCCCUGCCCAUCAAUUUCUGUAUAUUUAUUUAAAAUAAAUUAUCUAUUUCCUU
RNAcentral lists this long non-coding RNA (527 nucleotides) under Monodelphis domestica (gray short-tailed opossum). Its description in RNAcentral is "lncRNA (ENSMODG00000036631.1)". The record is from RNAcentral. Lineage: Eukaryota; Metazoa; Chordata; Mammalia; Didelphimorphia; Didelphidae.